GCGAGAGCUGAGCGUUCACCGCCGCUCCCGUCUGUCCCUCAGUGGAAGCCUGUCCGCUCCGCACGCUCUGGCUGCCGUGCAUUCCCAGGAGGAGCGCCGUGUCUGUUCUUACAACAAAGACUUGGCUGAAGUUUCUAAUGUUUUAACUGAGUUUCCUAAGGUGGACUGUGUUUAUGAACAAUCAAGCAAACCCCAUCUGUGUUGCUGUUGUCCCUGUCUUUCCUCCAUAGGGCCACCUGUUCAAUCCCUGGUCCAGAAGAUCCCACGUGCCACGGAGCAAGUGAGCUUGUGCACCGCAGCUACUGAGCCCGAGUGCCAGAGCCAGCAGGCCGCAGCUGCUGAAACCUGUGGGCCUAAAGCCCGUACUCGGCAACGAGAGAAGCCAUGGCAGGGAGAAGGUCUCACUGCGACUGGGGAACAGCCCCUUUUGCUGCAACAGGAGAAAAGCCCGUGCAGCAGCUAAGACUUGGUAC
Bos taurus (domestic cattle) is the source of this 473-nucleotide long non-coding RNA. The record is from Ensembl. NCBI's taxonomy places the organism in Eukaryota, Metazoa, Chordata, Mammalia, Artiodactyla, Bovidae.